Molecule: ribosomal RNA, 253 nt
Filed under: uncultured bacterium
Lineage: Bacteria
Description: partial 16S ribosomal RNA
Rfam family: Bacterial small subunit ribosomal RNA
Source: RNAcentral
UACAGAGGUCUCAAGCGUUGUUCGGAUUCAUUGGGCGUAAAGGGUGCGUAGGCGGCGCGGUAAGUCGGAUGUGAAAUCUCGGAGCUUAACUCCGAAACUGCAUUCGAUACUGCCGUGCUUGAGGACUGGAGAGGAGACUGGAAUUUACGGUGUAGCGGUGAAAUGCGUAGAUAUCGUAAGGAAGACCAGUGGCGAAGGCGGGUCUCUGGACCAUAACUGACGCUGAUGCACGAAAGCGUGGGGAGCAAACAGG